AUUUAGAUAGUUUAUUUAAAAUAUUAAUUUGUGGGAUUAAAGAUGUAAUUUUACUCUAGAUA
RNAcentral lists this transfer RNA (62 nucleotides) under Coleoptera sp. 3 AH-2016. RNAcentral's name for it is "tRNA-His". The record is from RNAcentral. Lineage: Eukaryota; Metazoa; Arthropoda; Insecta; Coleoptera.